GUGUCUUAGUGAUUAACGGCCGCGGUAAUUUGACCGUGCAAAGGUAGCAUAAUUAUUUGCCUUAUAAUUGAAGGCUGGAAUGAAUGGUUUGACAAGAGUAUUAUUGUCUCUUUUUUGUUUUUUGGAACUUUAUUUUUAGGUGAAGAAGCCUAAAUAUAAUUGAUAGACAAGAAGACCCUAUCGAGCUUUAAAUUAUAUAUAAGAUUUUAGGAUUUAAUCGUUAUAAUCAUAAUUAUAUAGGAUUUUUAGUUGGGGCGACUAGAGAAUAUUUAAAGCUUCUCUUUUGUUAGUUGUUAUAUUAUUUUGAUCCAGAUGAAAUGCUGAUUAAAAGAAUAAGUUACCGUAGGGAUAACAGCAUUAUCUUCUUAGAGAGUUCAUAUCGAAAAGCAGGUUUGUGACCUCGAUGUUGGAUCAGAAUAUCCUAAAGAUGUAGAAGUCUUUAAGGGUUGGUCUGUUCGACCAUUAAAAUUCUA
RNAcentral lists this ribosomal RNA (473 nucleotides) under Dentimargo sp. MNHN-IM-2013-45652. Its description in RNAcentral is "partial 16S ribosomal RNA". It matches the Rfam family "Bacterial large subunit ribosomal RNA", at positions 1866 to 2598 of the family's 2925-position model. The record is from RNAcentral. Lineage: Eukaryota; Metazoa; Mollusca; Gastropoda; Neogastropoda; Marginellidae.